GUCGAGCCCUCGACAUCGAUCCCGCCGGCGGAACGGCGGCCCGCGGCAGUACCGUCGUAUAUUCCUGGAGCUGCCACCACGCGAUGUCUUGUCGCCUAGAGUGUCGGUACUCCACAUGAGGUGACAGAUGAAGUUUUUGGCCUGCUCUCCCUCCAUCCCUGCCAGCCGGCGCACAAGGUAUUGAGGAAACCAACCACAGUGCAAAUUCCACUGGCACUCCAAGACAUGGAUACAUGUUAGCCAAGGAUCCAAUACAGUGGUGAUCUGAAGCGGCUACAUGUUUUUCUACAACUACCAUCCAGAUUUGCAGCUUAGUCAAACAAGGGACCCAAAGCCGAUGGAAGAAUAGGAAGGUACCCAAGAUCCCGAAGGGGCACACACUACAGUCUGGUAUCCAUGGUAGUGAUUCGUGCGGCAAACCCCACCUUUGAUGUCGCUGAGGGUUGAGUUGAGUAAAGUAAGACAUGUGGGGAGUGAGCUCCAAGAUAAUUUUGGGGGAAUUACAGACUGUGUGAUCCCCGCCCAUUACUUAUUGCAGUUAUCGGUUCUCUUUCUAUAUUAGUGCCUUAUUGGAAACAAAUGCCCCUAUCGAGUGUACGGGGCAAUGUGGCUACCUAUCCCUGAAAUGGCACAUAAAGAUCAGCUCUCCUACUUUGGAUCCAUAUUACUUCAAAAAAGUGUGGAUGGAUGCAGAAUGGAAGGGCAGAAGUAGGAUCAGGAUGAACAAUGAGGAGAUAUGAAGGCUACUAGAGCUGGGCCUCGAGCCAUGAUAUAUUCCCCAUCUGGCAGUGGCAAGCUGGAGCAUGUCUAUUUCUCUACGACAGAAGGCAGCAUGCCUCCCUGAUGGACAAGAAGCAAAGGGAUCUCAAAAGGUUUAAAUAAUGCAAGGGUGCUUUUGCAUCUUUGUUAAGAAAAGGAUUAAUGCGGAUAUCGAUUGCCACAACGUUACAUACAGGUUCAGAAACAAUGACAUGGAUUGUCCUCUUAACAUACAGGUUCAGAAACGAUGACAUGAAUUCAAGGUCUAAUCAUGUUCCUUUUAGCAUUCCUGGUAUGUCGCUAGCUUUUCAGAUAUUUUUACUGGCCGUAUGCAUUGUCAGGUGGCUUUUCCAAACAUGUAUUGGAACUCAAUAGAGGUUGAUUCCAGUGACAUUUGAUGGUACAUAUCGUCUCUUUUGUGACUUGCAGUCUGUUCCUAAAUUAUUUGCACUCUGCAGGUUAAGAGGACAAUCCCAAUGAACUAUUGUGCAUGUCCAAUGAAUGACAUUCUGUUAGCACAUUCCAUAUUUGGUGUUCUGGUAGUGCGAUGGAUUAUAUUAGCCAGCAGUGGCGAAUGAGAAACCGCAGUGGAGGGCGCCGCUUGGCCUCCACGGCAGCCGUUUCCAUGGGCUCUUCUGCUUUGGAUGAACUGCAGCAGCGUGGCCUGUAGCUAGCACACUCUGGAUUGCCAUGAUCGAUCGCAACAGCCACCACACUGGUUUCCUCAUUAGAAUUUUUAGGCUGCUGUUGGGUCUCAUAUCGAUCAUGGCAAGUUUGCUCACCAAAACAAUUAAGCACAUUAAUGGAAAAAAAAUUGUUUGGUCCCCUCCCUUGUAUUCAUGUGACCUGGUACGUUAUCCAUCGAACAUCAACAUCAAAGAUGUCCAGGGGAUUCAUCCGUGCAGAGAGCUCUCCUCCUGGUUUGAUCUGGAGAGGUAUUUUUUCAAAAUGAGGAUCUGGAGAGUAAUUGAUGAUCCAAAGGAAUCACUAGCAUCAUCUAACAAAGCUUCAACGGAUAGGAGGUGAUAAGAUUGGGCGAGAUAGAAGAGAUCAUAAGAAAGAUGAUGAAUAUUACUGCGCUGCUCUUCACCUUCAACUGCGACCUCGCUGAACUAAGGUGUCCUCGACAAGUGCGAGCCUGGCAAGGCCACUGCCUCCACCCUUGCAUUGCCCUCGCUUCAGCUUCUGCAGGAAGUUACAGGGAACAAAUGCUGCUAAGCCAUUAGGAUUCUACAUGUCUAAAUUCAUUUACAGUUGUUCGGUGUUGUUCAGUGCAGUUACCAGGACCUCAAUGUGUCCAUCUGAAUUGAUUUCGUGGAAUUGCGGAUUGGAUCUGCAGAUUCUAUUCAUGGUACAGGGAGGUAUAACUAUGAGAAAGUUCCGCCGCCAAAUAUUAUCAUUUUUUUAUAUUUGAUUCAUGUUCUUUGCUGCUAUUUCCAGCAUCUCCACAUGUAGUUAUGAGGAAAAGGUCCUAAUACGCAACUUUGGAGAAGAGAUGAAUGGUGCUUAUCCUUUUCUAAUAUAUACAAAUUUGUAUGGGUUGCACGAGGUCAGGUAGAGUUUUUCAGUUAGUUCUGAAACAAGAAACUAUAAGGCAUGAUUUAUUUGCAGACUUUGCAUGUCACCAAAAGCAUUGAUUUAUCUAUAGGCAUCACCACAACGUUAGCUGGUGAAUAGAGGUUUGUUCUUUGCUUUUUUGUGUCUUUUCUCAUAUUUCAUAAGUUGUAUGUUUCCUUUUCUUCAUUUCCAUAUAUUUUCUGGUAGAGGAUAGUGAAUUAUAGCAUGUGUCUUCCUGUUUCUCAUAAAGGCACGCCUCUUUGUUGAUGUGCAGAUUCACACUAGCAUAAUUUCUAUUUCUUAUAAAUCCUGCUUUUCUCAAAUAACAAAGUGGAAUAGACAUCAAGAUUCUUUCUAUUCACCUUUCAGCAUAGGAUCCUUCAGUUGACUGAGAAGUAUUAUCGGGCAGUUCAGCUUGAUCACAUCACAUCGAGAUAUGGUUGAUGACCUAGAACGUUGGCAUUCUCGGCCUAUUGACAAUGUCAGGCUGAAACUGGGGAAUAAGGACAAGAGCAAUCAGAAAUGGACAAACGUGUAUGCCACAACGCAGGGCAGCACUGGUCAU
Long non-coding RNA from Lolium rigidum, 2881 nucleotides. RefSeq lists it as uncharacterized. The record is from RefSeq and is a predicted model, not a curated record. Lineage: Eukaryota; Viridiplantae; Streptophyta; Magnoliopsida; Poales; Poaceae. The transcript is spliced from 10 exons.